AAAAAAAAUAAAUAAAAUUCAUCCAUUAUAUUAUUGAUGUGAUGUUCUCAACGAAUGAGAUUAUUUCCUCUGUCUCAUCAUGAUUAUUAAAGAAAAGAUAUUUUAUUGUAUUUUUUAUUUAAAAGAAAAGAUAUGAUUUGCUAUUAAUAAAUGACGCGGUAUUAAUAAAUGACGCGGUAUGACUGAUACAUAGUAGAAUCUCGUGUGUGGAAAUUGAAUGGAACC
RNAcentral lists this long non-coding RNA (225 nucleotides) under Ananas comosus (pineapple). RNAcentral's name for it is "long non-coding RNA (ACOM_LNC036044)". Lineage: Eukaryota; Viridiplantae; Streptophyta; Magnoliopsida; Poales; Bromeliaceae. The record is from RNAcentral.